This is a long non-coding RNA of Penaeus indicus, 287 nucleotides long. RefSeq lists it as uncharacterized. Lineage: Eukaryota; Metazoa; Arthropoda; Malacostraca; Decapoda; Penaeidae. The record is from RefSeq and is a predicted model, not a curated record. The transcript has 3 exons.
UGACCUGUGGUGACAGAGCAGCGCACUGUGACAGAUUCAAUAUAGGAAUAAGAUCACCAAAAAUCUUCCUUAAAACUUGAUAUAAGCCUCAUCUCAGAAUGUGGAGGACUACGCUUGGUGUCGGGCUGAGUGUGUUCUUGGCACUAGCUGAAGCCAAGAGGGAGUGCUUCGCUGACCUGGAGGGACCCAAAGAUGACCCAAACAACAUCUACAAGUGCGCUGACUCAGAAAAAUGUUGCCAAGAAGGUGGUGAACCAACGUGCUGCCGAGAGAAGGACACUGAUGUG